GGUUAAGCGACUAAGCGUACACGGUGGAUGCCCUGGCAGUCAGAGGCGAUGAAGGACGUGCUAAUCUGCGAUAAGCGUCGGUAAGGUGAUAUGAACCGUUAUAACCGGCGAUUUCCGAAUGGGGAAACCCAGUGUGAUUCGUCACACUAUCAUUAACUGAAUCCAUAGGUUAAUGAGGCGAACCGGGGAACUGAAACAUCUAAGUACCCCGAGGAAAAGAAAUCAACCGAGAUUCCCCCAGUAGCGGCGAGCGAACGGGGAGCAGCCCAGAGCCUGAAUCAGUGUGUGUGUUAGUGGAAGCGUCUGGAAAGGCGCGCGAUACAGGGUGACAGCCCGUACACAAAAAUGCACAUAUUGUGAGCUCGAUGAGUAGGGCGGGACACGUGGUAUCCUGUCUGAAUAUGGGGGGCCCAUCCUCCAAGGCUAAAUACUCCUGACUGACCGAUAGUGAACCAGUACCGUGAGGGAAAGGCGAAAAGAACCCCGGCGAGGGGAGUGAAAAAGAACCUGAAACCGUGUACGUACAAGCAGUGGGAGCACGCUUAGGCGUGUGACUGCGUACCUUUGUAUAAUGGGUCAGCGACUUAUAUUCUGUAGCAAGGUUAACCGAAUAGGGAGCCGAAGGGAAACCGAGUCUUAACUGGGCGUUAAGUUGCAGGGUAUAGACCCGAAACCCGGUGAUCUCAGCCAUGGGCAGGUUGAAGGUUGGGUAACACUAACUGGAGGACCGGAACCGACUAAUGUUGAAAAAUUAGCGGAUGACUUGUGGCUGGGGGUGAAAGGCCAAUCAAACCGGGAGAUAGCUGGUUCUCCCCGAAAGCUAUUUAGGUAGCGCCUCGUGAAUUCAUCUCCGGGGUAGAGCACUGUUUCGGCAAGGGGGUCAUCCCGACUUACCAACCCGAUGCAAACUGCGAAUACCGGAGAAUGUUAUCACGGGAGACACACGGCGGGUGCUAACGUCCGUCGUGAAGAGGGAAACAACCCAGACCGCCAGCUAAGGUCCCAAAGUCAUGGUUAAGUGGGAAACGAUGUGGGAAGGCCCAGACAGCCAGGAUGUUGGCUUAGAAGCAGCCAUCAUUUAAAGAAAGCGUAAUAGCUCACUGGUCGAGUCGGCCUGCGCGGAAGAUGUAACGGGGCUAAACCAUGCACCGAAGCUGCGGCAGCGACGCUUAUGCGUUGUUGGGUAGGGGAGCGUUCUGUAAGCCUGCGAAGGUGUGCUGUGAGGCAUGCUGGAGGUAUCAGAAGUGCGAAUGCUGACAUAAGUAACGAUAAAGCGGGUGAAAAGCCCGCUCGCCGGAAGACCAAGGGUUCCUGUCCAACGUUAAUCGGGGCAGGGUGAGUCGACCCUAAGGCGAGGCCGAAAGGCGUAGUCGAUGGGAAACAGGUUAAUAUUCCUGUACUUGGUGUUACUGCGAAGGGGGGACGGAGAAGGCUAUGUUGGCCGGGCGACGGUUGUCCCGGUUUAAGCGUGUAGGCUGGUUUUCCAGGCAAAUCCGGAAAAUCAAGGCUGAGGCGUGAUGACGAGGCACUACGGUGCUGAAGCAACAAAUGCCCUGCUUCCAGGAAAAGCCUCUAAGCAUCAGGUAACAUCAAAUCGUACCCCAAACCGACACAGGUGGUCAGGUAGAGAAUACCAAGGCGCUUGAGAGAACUCGGGUGAAGGAACUAGGCAAAAUGGUGCCGUAACUUCGGGAGAAGGCACGCUGAUAUGUAGGUGAAGUCCCUUGCGGAUGGAGCUGAAAUCAGUCGAAGAUACCAGCUGGCUGCAACUGUUUAUUAAAAACACAGCACUGUGCAAACACGAAAGUGGACGUAUACGGUGUGACGCCUGCCCGGUGCCGGAAGGUUAAUUGAUGGGGUCAGCGCAAGCGAAGCUCUUGAUCGAAGCCCCGGUAAACGGCGGCCGUAACUAUAACGGUCCUAAGGUAGCGAAAUUCCUUGUCGGGUAAGUUCCGACCUGCACGAAUGGCGUAAUGAUGGCCAGGCUGUCUCCACCCGAGACUCAGAGUGAAAUUGAACUCGCUGUGAAGAUGCAGUGUACCCGCGGCAAGACGGAAAGACCCCGUGAACCUUUACUAUAGCUUGACACUGAACAUUGAGCCUUGAUGUGUAGGAUAGGUGGGAGGCUUUGAAGUGUGGACGCCAGUCUGCAUGGAGCCGGCCUUGAAAUACCACCCUUUAAUGUUUGAUGUUCUAACGUGGACCCGUGAUCCGGGUUGCGGACAGUGUCUGGUGGGUAGUUUGACUGGGGCGGUCUCCUCCUAAAGAGUAACGGAGGAGCACGAAGGUUGGCUAAUCCUGGUCGGACAUCAGGAGGUUAGUGCAAUGGCAUAAGCCAGCUUGACUGCGAGCGUGACGGCGCGAGCAGGUGCGAAAGCAGGUCAUAGUGAUCCGGUGGUUCUGAAUGGAAGGGCCAUCGCUCAACGGAUAAAAGGUACUCCGGGGAUAACAGGCUGAUACCGCCCAAGAGUUCAUAUCGACGGCGGUGUUUGGCACCUCGAUGUCGGCUCAUCACAUCCUGGGGCUGAAGUAGGUCCCAAGGGUAUGGCUGUUCGCCAUUUAAAGUGGUACGCGAGCUGGGUUUAGAACGUCGUGAGACAGUUCGGUCCCUAUCUGCCGUGGGCGCUGGAGAACUGAGGGGGGCUGCUCCUAGUACGAGAGGACCGGAGUGGACGCAUCACUGGUGUUCGGGUUGUCAUGCCAAUGGCACUGCCCGGUAGCUAAAUGCGGAAGAGAUAAGUGCUGAAAGCAUCUAAGCACGAAACUUGCCCCGAGAUGAGUUCUCCCUGACCCUUUAAGGGUCCUGAAGGAACGUUGAAGACGACGACGUUGAUAGGCCGGGUGUGUAAGCGCAGCGAUGCGUUGAGCUAACCGGUACUAAUGAACCGUGAGGCUUAACCUU
RNAcentral lists this ribosomal RNA (2902 nucleotides) under Shigella sonnei. RNAcentral describes it as "23S ribosomal RNA". It matches the Rfam family "Bacterial large subunit ribosomal RNA". The record is from RNAcentral. Lineage: Bacteria; Pseudomonadati; Pseudomonadota; Gammaproteobacteria; Enterobacterales; Enterobacteriaceae.